Copromyces sp. CBS 386.78 is the source of this 106-nucleotide non-coding RNA. The record is from the annotation of a GenBank genome assembly. NCBI's taxonomy places the organism in Eukaryota, Fungi, Ascomycota, Sordariomycetes, Sordariales, Sordariaceae.
GCGCGGUUAGUAUAGUGGUUUAGUACUCUCGCUCCAAAGACGCGACUUGGGGGCCCCUCAGAAGUCGUUUGAGCGAGGAUCCCGGGUUCGAAUCCCGGACUGCGCA